RNA transcript from Hippopotamus amphibius kiboko, 3316 nucleotides. The record is from RefSeq and is a predicted model, not a curated record. Lineage: Eukaryota; Metazoa; Chordata; Mammalia; Artiodactyla; Hippopotamidae.
GGGUAGCGUGCGCUAUGGAGCUGCAAGUCGCAGAGCUGAAGCAGAAGCUUGAAGACACGUUGUGCCCUUUUGGCUUCGAGGUUUACCCCUUCCAGGUGGCAUGGUACAAUGCACUCCUGCCUCCAGCCUUUCACCUGCCCCUGCCAGGACCUACCCUGGCCUUCUUGGUACUCAGCACACCUGCCAUGUUUGACCGGGCUCUCAAGCCCUUCCUGCAGAGCUGCCAUCUCCAACCACUGACUGACCCUGUGGACCAGUGUGUGGCCUACCACCUGGGCCGUGUUAGAGAGAGCCUCCCAGAGCUGCAAAUAGAAGUCAUCGCUGACUACGAGGUACACCCGAACCGGCGCCCCAAGAUUCUGGCUCAGACAGCAGCCCAUGUGGCUGGGGCAGCUUACUACUACCAAAGACAGGACGUGGAGUCUGACCCCUGGGGGACCCAGAACAUAGCAGGUGUAUGUAUACAUCCCAGAUUUGGGGGCUGGUUUGCCAUCCGAGGGGUGGUGCUGCUGCGUGGAAUAGAGGUGCCGGAUCUGCCACCCACAAAGCCCCUCGACUGUGUACCUACAAGAGCUGACCGGAUCACCCUGCUUGAACGCUUCAAUUUCCACUGGCACGAUUGGACUUACCGGGAUGCUGUGACACCUCAGGAGCGCUACUCAGAAGAACAGAAGGCCUACUUUUCCACUCCACCUGCCCAACGCUUGGCCUUGCUGGGCUUGGCCCAGCCCUCAGAGGAGCCCAACUCCACAUCCCAAGAGCUUCAUUUUAGCACAUUCAUACCCAAGAAGCCUCAGAAUCCUAGCAGAGGCUGGCUCAGCCCCAGGGUCUCACCACCUGAAUCCCCUGGCCCUUGAUACCCUCCUCCCGUGUGGUAUCCUAGUAACAGUGGCACAUGCUGGGACUUACUUGGCUAGGCAAGACUUUUAUUUUGGGUACAAGACAAUCAUUUUUGAUUAAGAAUUAUAGAUGUAAGGCUCAGAGAAGUUUGGUCAAGAUUAAAGACCAAAGCAGACCCAGACUUCCCACCUGCCUUGCAACAUGGGAUAAUUACCUAUUACCAUUUCUCUGCAGUGCUUCAAGAUGCUAUUUGUUACAGGGCUUAAGGAGCAACUACCCCCUAAAUAACGGUACCUUCCUCAGAUUAUUGUGGAGACUGAAUAAAUAUGAAACAGUACCUGAAAUACAGUAAGCUAUUAUUGAAGGCUCCGGGGAACCCUGUACUGCUGCCCAUAGGUCUUACCUGUCUGAAUACUGGAGGGGUAGGUAGGCUGGGGUAGCCAUGUCUGGAAAGGCACCACGUGAUAUAUAUGCCCUAGCCUCGAGAGCCCUGGAGGAAGCCACCUUUGCCACACUGACAACCUUCCCGAGGACAAUGAUAAUGAAUGAAGGCAAGACCCUUAAAUCAAGGCUGGAAACCCAGGGAAGCCGAGAGGUGUUUCUGACUCACAAAGACCUACUCUACUGAAUACGAGCCCUUAUGUUUGUAUCCCCCUCACCCUUCCAGUUCCAAAGAUGGUGCUGGAACAGCUGGAUUUCCACAAGUAAAACAAUGCAAUUGGACACCUAUUCAUAUCAUAUACAAAAAAUUUACUCAAAAAUGGAUCAACAACCUAAAUAUAAGAGCUAAAACCAUAAACUCUUUGAAGAAAAUACAGGGUGGUCAAACUUCAUGACCCUGGAUUUGGAACUGUAUUCUUAGACAUGAUACUGAAAACACAAGCAACAGUAAAAAACAGAAGAAGAAUAUUGGACUUGAUCAAAAUUAAGGAUGUUUGUAGAUCAAAGGACAUUAUCAAGAGAGUGAAAACAACCCACAACAUGGGAGCAAAUAUUUACAAAUCAUAUCUGAUAAGGGAUUAAUAGCCAAAAUUAAAAUCCAGAACUCCCAGAACUCAACAACAGCCAACUCAAUUCAAAAAUGGGCAAAGGACUCGAAAAAAGACAUCUCCAAAGAUAUACAAAUAGUCAAUGAACACAAGAAAAUAUGCUAUCACUAGUCAAAACCACAAUGAGAUACCAUUUCACAUACCCUAGGAUGGCUAUAGUUUAAAAAAAAAAGAUGGAAAGUAAAUGUUGGUAAGGAUUUAAAGAACCCUUGGUAUUGCUGGUGGGAAUGUAAAAUGGUACAGAUGCUGUGGAAAAGUUUGGCAGCUCCUCAAGAAUCUAAACAGAAUUACCAUAUGACCCAGCAAUUCUAUUCCUAUAUAUAUACCCCAAAGUAAUUGGAAACAAGGACUCAGAACCAGUUCACCAAUAUUUUAGCAAUAUUAUUCACAACAGCCAAAAGGUGGAAACAACCUGUUAAUGGGUAGAUAGACAAAAUGCAGUGUGUGUACACACACACACGUUGAAAUAUUAUUCAACCUUUAAAAAGAAUGAAGUUCUUCAGCAAGAUUUUUUUUGAUCCACCCCCUAGAAUAAUGGAAAUAAAAACAGAAAUAAAUAAGUUGGACCUAAUGAAACUUCAAAGCUUCUGCACAGCAAAGGAAACUAUAAGCAAGACGAAAAGACAACCCUCAGAAUGGGAGAAAUAUUUGCAAACGAAUCAACAGACAGAGGACUAAUCUCCAAAAUAUAUAAACAGUUCAUCCAACUCAAUAUCAAAAAAACACACAACCCAAUCAGAAAAUGGGCAGAAGACCUAAAUAGGCAUUUCUCCAAAGAAGACAUACGGAUGGCCAAGAGGCACUUGAAAAGCUGCUCAACAUCACUAAUUAUUAGGGAAAUGCAAAUCAAAACUACAAUGAGGUAUCACCUCACACCGGUUAGAACGGGCAUCAUCAGAAAAUCUACAAACAGUAAAUGCUGGAGAGGGUGUGGAGAAAAAGGAACGCUCUUAUGUUGCUGGUGGGAAUGUAAAUUGAUACAGCCACUAUGGAAAACAGUAUGGAGGUUCCUUGCAAAACUGAAAAUUGAACUACCAUAUGACCCAGCAAUCCCACUCUGGGCAUAUACCCAGAGAACACCGAAAUUCAAAAAGACACAUGCACUCCAAUGUUCACUGCAGCACUAUCUGCAACAGCCAGGACAUGGAAGCAACCUAAAUGUCCAUCAACAGAUGAAUGGAUAAAGAAGAUGUGGUACAUACAUACAAUGGAAUGUUACUCAGCUGUAAAAAGCAAUGAAACUGGGACAUUUUUAGAGACAUGGAUGGACCUAGAGACUGUCAUACAGAGUGAAGUGAGUCAGAAAAAGAAAAACAAAUAUUGUAUAUUAACACAUAUACGUGGACUGUAGAAAAAUGGUACAAAUCAAUCGGUUUGCAAGGCAGAAAUAGAGACAGAUGUAGAGAACAAACAUAUGGACACCAAGU